AUGAAAUUCCUACAACAUAUUAACCUUGAAGGUUGUGAAAGUUUUAUGAAACUUCCUGAUAGCAUUAUCAAGCUGCAAGGGUUGAGAUAUCUUGAUAUUGAUGACACACAUGUAUGUAGUAUUCCUAGGGGUUUCCGAGCUCUUACAAAUUUGAGUGCACUAUAUGGGUUUCCAGCCUAUACUGAUGGUGACUGGUGUAGUUUGGAAGAGUUGGGGUCUCUUUCCCAACUGAAUGGACUUUCAAUAAAGAGUCUAGAAAAUGUAUCUAGUGCCUUGUUGGCUGAAAAGGCAAGGGUAAAAGCAAAGAAAAAACUUACCAUACUUGCAUUAGAAUGUGGUGGUAGAGUGGGAGAUGGAUUGGUCCAAGGAGGAGUGUCCGAGUCUAAGGAGGAGGAGCAAAUAAUUGAGGCGGUGUUUGAUGUGCUAUGUCCUCAGCCUUGCAUAGAACACAUCGUCACAAAAAGAUAUUUUGGCCGCCGGCUCCCAGGAUGGAUGACGUCCACAGCUAUGGUGCCUCUCGAGAGCUUGAAGAUUCUUGUCCUCGAACACCUGCCCUGCUGCACCCAACUCCCAGAUGGCUUGUGCAGGUUCCCGUAUUUGGAGUGGAUAAAAGUGGACAAGGCUCCAGCAAUCAAGUGUGUCGGUCCUGAAUUCGUCCAACAGUACAAUCAGCUGCACCGUCCUUCAUCUCAGUUGGCUGCUACGUUUCCCAAACUCCAGCAGCUGGAUUUUAACGGAAUGGAGGAAUGGGAGGAGUGGGUUUGGGAGACAGAAGUGAAAGCUAUGCCCUUAUUGGAGGAACUUCGCAUCAGUCCUUGCAAACUGGGCCGUAUGCCUCCAGGACUUAUAUCUCAUGCGAUGACUUUGAAGAAGCUAAUAAUAUGGAACGUCCAAUGUCUCCACUCCCUAGAGAACUUUAUUUCUGUAAUUGAGCUCGACCUGUAUGACAUACCUGAAUUGGUCAACAUCUCCAAUCUUCCAAAAUUACAAAAGCUUACAAUCAAGUACUGCCCAGAGCUCAAGACAGUGCAGGAGAUGGCUGCACCACGGAGACUCGAUCUGGGAAUUUUCUACUACGAAAGUCAACUUCCGGUCUACCUGCAGACUGUCAAGCCUAGUAAUUUGCUGCUGACCUGCAGCCUUGAAGUACUCACUUCCAUGGCUGAGGGUGAAUCUAGCUCCGAGUGGGACAAGUUCAGUCAUAUCAAGCAAGUCGAGGCUUGUGCAGAGGAUGGAGCAGAUGAGAAGAAAUGGCACGUGUUCUACACAUCUGAAUCCUGCAAGAUACAGACAAAUAUUCAUGAGGGUCGAUUGGUGGAAGAAGAGGAAUAG
RNAcentral lists this ribosomal RNA (1332 nucleotides) under Triticum aestivum (bread wheat). RNAcentral's name for it is "partial small subunit ribosomal RNA". The record is from RNAcentral. Lineage: Eukaryota; Viridiplantae; Streptophyta; Magnoliopsida; Poales; Poaceae.